AGACACAUAAAUCCUCCUCAUCACAAACAUGACUUUGAUCUGCGUCCUCAUCUGGACUCUCCUCUGCUGCUGCUUCACAGCUGUUAAGAGGUCAGAGUUGAUCAGUGGCUGUCCAGGCCUUUCAGAGCCACUGACACACCAGCAGCACAAUGAUGAUGUCACUGACUCUACUGCUGACCAUCCUGGGGCUCCUGGUUCAGGGUUCAUCAGGAGACAUCAUCCUGACUCAGACUCCUGGAUCUCAGUCUGUUGCUCCAGGACAGACUGUCUCAAUCACAUGUAAAACCAGUUCAGGUGUUGGUAGCUAUCUCAACUGGUACCUUCAGAAACCUGCAGAAGCUCCUAAACUCCUGAUUUAUUCAGCUACGACUCUUCAGUCUGGAGUUCCAGCUCGGUUCAGUGGAAGUGGAUCUGUUUCUGAUUACACUCUGACCAUCAGUGGAGUUCAGGCUGAAGAUUCAGGAGUUUAUUACUGUCAGCAGAGUAGCAGCUUCCCGUUCACACAGUGAAUGAACGUCGUACAAAAACCUCCCUCAGUUUCAGGGGAACUGAUCUGACUCAACAGCUGCACUGAAACUAAAACAUUGAACAUUUCC
Molecule: non-coding RNA, 596 nt
Organism: Xiphophorus couchianus (Monterrey platyfish)
Lineage: Eukaryota; Metazoa; Chordata; Actinopteri; Cyprinodontiformes; Poeciliidae
Source: the annotation of a RefSeq genome assembly